RNAcentral lists this ribosomal RNA (255 nucleotides) under Stenotrophomonas sp. 3H11. RNAcentral's name for it is "partial 16S ribosomal RNA". It matches the Rfam family "Bacterial small subunit ribosomal RNA", at positions 1200 to 1454 of the family's 1533-position model. Lineage: Bacteria; Pseudomonadati; Pseudomonadota; Gammaproteobacteria; Lysobacterales; Lysobacteraceae. The record is from RNAcentral.
CCUUACGGCCAGGGCUACACACGUACUACAAUGGUAGGGACAGAGGGCUGCAAGCCGGCGACGGUAAGCCAAUCCCAGAAACCCUAUCUCAGUCCGGAUUGGAGUCUGCAACUCGACUCCAUGAAGUCGGAAUCGCUAGUAAUCGCAGAUCAGCAUUGCUGCGGUGAAUACGUUCCCGGGCCUUGUACACACCGCCCGUCACACCAUGGGAGUUUGUUGCACCAGAAGCAGGUAGCUUAACCUCGGGAGGGCGCU